ACUAUAGCUCAGUUGGUAGAGCGAUGGAUUCGUAACCCAUAGGCCAGCAGUUCAAUUCUGCUUAG
Molecule: transfer RNA, 65 nt
Filed under: human gut metagenome
Rfam family: tRNA
About the family: Transfer RNA (tRNA) molecules are approximately 80 nucleotides in length.
Source: RNAcentral